AUGAGUCUACUAUGUUGGAACUGCCGGGGGGUGGAGAACCGCCGGACAGUUCGUGAGGUGUUGGCCCUUGCAAUAACCAACAUCCCCAAGUUUCUCUUUCUAUGUGAGACAAGGAAAACUAAAGAGAAGAUGGAGAAGCUUAAAUGAAGGCUGGGCUUAAAGGGUUUCUGUGGUGUUAGUAGUAAGGGAAGAAGUGGUGGUUUGGCCCUUUUUUGGGACGAAUCGUUAAUGGUGACUGUAUUGGAUAGUUGUGCACGCUACAUUGAUGUGCAGGUGACGGACAAUGGUACUGAUGUUAGCUGGCGAGAUACCUUUGCGUGUACGGCGAACCACGGCCGGAAAAUUGUCAUUUAA
This 354-nucleotide ribosomal RNA is filed under the name Triticum aestivum (bread wheat). RNAcentral describes it as "partial small subunit ribosomal RNA". The record is from RNAcentral. Lineage: Eukaryota; Viridiplantae; Streptophyta; Magnoliopsida; Poales; Poaceae.